GGAACUUGCCAGAGAUGGCUUGGUGCCGAAAGGGAAUCGGAACACAGGUGCUGCAUGGCUGUCGUCAGCUCGUGUCGUGAGAUGUUGGGUUAAGUCCCGCAACCGAGCGCAACCCUUAUCAUUAGUUGCUACGCAAGGGCACUCUAAUGAGACUGCCGGUGACAAACCGGAGGAAGGUGGGGAUGACGUCAAGUCCUCAUGGCCCUUAUGGGUAGGGCUUCACACGUCAUACAAUGGUCGCUACAGAGUGACGCGAAGCCGCGAGGUGGAGCAAAUCGCAGAAAAGCGACCUUAGUUCGGAUUGGAGUCUGAAACCCGACUCCAUGAAGGUGGAAUCGCUAGUAAUCGCGCAUCAGCAUGGCGCGGUGAAUACGUUCCCGGGCCUU
This 386-nucleotide ribosomal RNA is filed under the name uncultured Tepidiphilus sp. Its description in RNAcentral is "bacterial SSU rRNA". It matches the Rfam family "Bacterial small subunit ribosomal RNA", at positions 992 to 1382 of the family's 1533-position model. The record is from RNAcentral. Lineage: Bacteria; Pseudomonadati; Pseudomonadota; Hydrogenophilia; Hydrogenophilales; Hydrogenophilaceae.